RNAcentral lists this long non-coding RNA (548 nucleotides) under Anser cygnoides (Swan goose). RNAcentral's name for it is "lncRNA (ENSACDG00005012030.1)". The record is from RNAcentral. Lineage: Eukaryota; Metazoa; Chordata; Aves; Anseriformes; Anatidae.
UGGUAAAAGACCAAGGGGAGAAACAGAAGCAACAUUGUUUAAUAAUUGAAGUAUAAAAGUGUAAUUCAGAAGUAGCAAGUACAUCAUCCACAGAGAUUGAAUUGUCUCCAGCAGAGAAGGCAGAAUUCCAUGCUGUCAUGCCCUCUUAUAACAAUGAAAGAAUGCACGUUAAUCUUGGUGAAGAACAGAGGUCUAAAUGUAAUCAAUGAGCAAGCAACAGUUGAUGGGGAGUUUCAAUCCUGCAUUUUUUAUUUUAUUUUCAAUUUUAUUUCAAAAACUAGAUUAGUAUUUUACUGCUCUUUUUUUUUUUUUUUUUUUAAUAAAAUACUAAGGCCUUUACAGAUUCAUGAUUUUUUAGAUACCUAUCAUUGAUAUGUUUAGUGUAAAUAUAUGCCCAAAAGGCUGUUCUGAAAAUUCACGUUGAGUAAGUUAUCUGAAUGUGUAUCUUGGUAUAUAUCCCAGGCAUGAACAGGGAGAAGACAUUUGGAAGGAAAUCAGAUCCUCAUUUCUACAGCAAAUAAAAUCCCUCAUACAUCUUUAUCUCUACA